This 497-nucleotide ribosomal RNA is filed under the name uncultured bacterium. RNAcentral's name for it is "partial 16S ribosomal RNA". It matches the Rfam family "Bacterial small subunit ribosomal RNA", at positions 28 to 507 of the family's 1533-position model. The record is from RNAcentral.
GAUGAACGCUGGCGGCGUGCCUAAUACAUGCAAGUCGAGCGAACGGACGAGAAGCUUGCUUCUCUGAUGUUAGCGGCGGACGGGUGAGUAACACGUGGAUAACCUACCUAUAAGACUGGGAUAACUUCGGGAAACCGGAGCUAAUACCGGAUGAUAUUUUGAACCGCAUGGUUCAAAAGUGAAAGACGGUCUUGCUGUCACUUAUAGAUGGAUCCGCGCUGCAUUAGCUAGUUGGUAAGGUUACGGCUUACCAAGGCAACGAUGCAUAGCCGACCUGAGAGGGUGAUCGGCCACACUGGAACUGAGACACGGUCCAGACUCCUACGGGAGGCAGCAGUAGGGAAUCUUCCGCAAAGGGCGAAAGCCUGACGGAGCAACGCCGCGUGAGUGAUGAAGGUCUUCGGAUCGUAAAACUCUGUUAUUAGGGAAGAACAUAUGUGUAAGUAACUGUGCACAUCUUGACGGUACCUAAUCAGAAAGCCACGGCUAACUACGUG